RNA transcript from Quercus robur (English oak), 898 nucleotides. It is a transcript of the gene named classical arabinogalactan protein 7-like, with no coding region annotated. NCBI's taxonomy places the organism in Eukaryota, Viridiplantae, Streptophyta, Magnoliopsida, Fagales, Fagaceae. The transcript is spliced from 3 exons. The record is from RefSeq and is a predicted model, not a curated record.
GGUCAAAUAUCUUCCAUUUAAUUUGUGUUCCUUUUAGUCCAACUUGUACAAGUAAAAGACUAAUCGUGUAUUUCUUUGUGUAGUUCUGCAUACCUAAGAGCAUUGGUAUCUUCAGCAACGUUGAAACUUUAGAGCUGUGUUUCUCUCAAAGAAUGGAAUUUGACGCCUUGAAGGUGAUAGCUAUUCUCAAAGGCUUUCCCCUUUUAAAGAAAUUUUAUAUGAUGAUGCCAUGCCCAAAUGACUUUGAACGAGGAAUGCUUGAGCCUAACGAAAAUGUCCAUGAACUUGAACUUGAACAUGAACAUUUGAAGGAAGUUCAUCUUGCUGAAUUUUAUGACACCCCAAGUCAAAUUAAUUUUUCUAUUUAUUUGAUCAAACAUGCUUGUGCUCUUAAGGAGGAAUGCUUGUACCAUCCUUGUCACCAAGCACGCCAACUGUAUCGCCACCAUAUAGAACAACUCCUCCACCUCUGACUAUUCAAGGACAUGUACCAUCCAUACUGCCAAGUCCUUCACCAGUUAAGAAGACUGCUGCAUCAAUGCCACUUGCUGCUCCAGGUAAACUUAUGGACCUAGUGAUGGUGUCUCAAGUUUUAACAAUUCUCUGGAAUUGGAUUGAGGGCUUGGCAGUGUCCAGCGAAGCAAUCAGUUGAAUCACGUAGAAGUAUGUAACCAAAACUUUGUCUUUGACAGAAUUGGAAAAAUCUUGUUGUGCCUUUUUUAGUUACCAUGUGAAUAGAAAGUGUUGUCUCCACUAGGGGGAGAAUGAUGCUGGAAACGUGAAGAUAAUUUUAUUUUAAUUUAGUUUUAUUUUAGAAUUCAUUUGAAUUUUAUUCAUUUGCUAGAGUCAAGGUUAUUUUUUGUAUUUAUAGUAUUCUUCAUAAAUACACUAUUGUACU